GUCCUAACUUUGCUGAUUACAAUACCAUAUAUACUUAUGAUAAUAUAUGAUGCCAUGGCAGAAGUGGAAUUUGCAGAAUGUAGUCAAAUAAAAUUCAGGAUUCUGUCGUUUGUGAUCAUAAAGAUGGCCAUACUGACAUUUGCACCAGUACUAGCUUGUGAGAAGUUGGCAUUCCAAGCGGAA
This 183-nucleotide unclassified non-coding RNA is filed under the name Manduca sexta (tobacco hornworm). RNAcentral's name for it is "uncharacterized LOC119193759, transcript variant X1". Lineage: Eukaryota; Metazoa; Arthropoda; Insecta; Lepidoptera; Sphingidae. The record is from RNAcentral.